Tetranychus urticae (two-spotted spider mite) is the source of this 4841-nucleotide RNA transcript. RefSeq lists it as uncharacterized. Lineage: Eukaryota; Metazoa; Arthropoda; Arachnida; Trombidiformes; Tetranychidae. The record is from RefSeq and is a predicted model, not a curated record.
CAACCUCAUAGCCUGGCUUUCCUUGCAUUGAAUGUAGAACAUUCAAUGUAAAAUUUAAGAGUUUAGAGUUGAGAGUUUCUUUCUGGUUUCGCUGUAAAUUAAUUAAUUACUAUUAUAUUUAGCUGUUUAAUUAAUUAUCAUUUAUUCAAAAUAUUAUCAGUAACAUGUCAUCCAACAGUUUAUAUUCACCAUUAUCCUCCGAUGAGGACUGCGAUAAUACUGGCCAAGAUGUUGAGUCCGGUCGUCAUAUUGAUCAUGGUUCAUCUGUUGUAAAGAGAAAACAUUCCUCAAAACAUCAUAGACAUCAUAAACAUGAGAAGAAAAAACACCGGAAACAUAAACACCGUCCUCACUCUUCGGGUGCGAUAGAGCGUGGUGAUGUCUCUUCAUCUUCAAAUAAACACAGACGUCAUAAAAAGGAUAGACAUAGGAGUAGAAGGAAUGAAGCCGAGGAUGAUCUCGAAGAGGUUAAUGAUGACCAAUACGACCCAAAACCUAGAAUAUUGAGCUCGAAGCCUCUUGUACCAGAAUAUGACGAUAUCUCGGAUACAGAUGACAUUCAAUCUCAAUCUUUUGAUGACCAAAGAAAUGAUGAUGCCGAAGAGGGCGAAGUAGGAUGUGAUGCCGAGGCAAAAUCAGUUGUUAGCUCUGUAAAAGUUCCUGACAGUAAAAAGGGGGACGACCCAGACUCACCUUUAUCGCGUAUAAGUAGUCAAAGUCCACCGUUGGGUGAAGAAGAAAUCAGUCAACCUUCAUCACCAGUCCUUUCGAAAGCGGCAGAUAAACAUUCAACUCGUCCAACUCAAAGUCCUCGAUCUAAUAAAUCAAAAGCUGUCGAAAUAACUUCUCCAGCCAAAAUUUGGAUGGAUAAAUCUCCUCCUUUUGUUGAUAAGCCUAAAAAAUCAACUGUUCAUCUCUCCCCUAUUGAUUCCACAGAGACUGAUGAAUCUAGAAUCGAUUCAGAAGAUAGAAAGAAGAAACCUACUAAAAGACAUCAGCUACCUCCUCCUCCUCCGCCACCAUCACUAGCAUCAGGACCACCAUCUCGGUCUAGAACACCUCCUGCAACACCACCUAAAGAGUUUAAUAAAAAUGAUAAGCGUUCGAAAAAUCCCAGAGAACCGAGAUCUCGGACGCCUCCUCAUACUGAUGUAAGAAGGAGAAGAUCUCCCAGCCCUCAUUCUAGUAAACCAUGGUCACCACCUCCGCCACCUCCACCUCCGCCUUUAUCAUCGUCUUCAGCAUCAUUUAGGCGACGAUCUUGGAGUAAGAGUCCACCACCACCAUCUUCUGAUUCAUCUGGUUCUAAACGUCGGAGAGAUAGAUCUCCAAGCCCUUCUAGACAUGUUGAUAGAAGUAAAGAUCGUGAUCGCUCCAAGGAAUUUUCAGAUAGAGAGAAAUCGCCCUCUCGAGUUAAGUAUCCUUCAACCACAUCGUCUUCUCGCAAAUCUUCGCAUACUAGGUCACCUCCAAGAGACAAGAGAUAUUCUGGUAGAGAUUUAUCUCCUACUCCAAGGAAUCGGGAAAAAUCUCCCAACAGGAGAUCCGAGCCGGCACCAAGAAGUAGUAAAAAUUAUUCAAGUCGUUCAUCUAGAGACCAAGGACGGGGUAGUAAAUAUUCAUCUAAUGGACGAGGUAGAUCUCGUGAUAGAUCACCGCAUGAACGUGCUAAAGAUGUUUCUCCUUACGAUAGACCCAGAGACCGUUCACCAUAUGAUCAUCCAAGGGAUCGUUCUCCUUUCGAUAGACCAAGAGAAAGAUCUCAUGAACGUAAUAGAGAUCGAUCACCUUAUGAUAGAUCCCGAGAAAGGUCACCUUAUGAUAGAUCAAAGGAUAGAUCUCGUCAUAAAUCUCCCAUCUCCAGUUCCAAGCGGAAUGUUUAUGAUAGGGAUCGAUCUAUUUCCCCUGGUCGUCCUAGAUCACCUAGAUCACCUAGAUAUCGUAGGACUCCUGUCUCACCCCGCUCUAGAAGAGCUCCCCUCUCCCCUCGAUCCCCUCCUUUAUCUCCAAGAGCCGGGCGUCCUCAUCGGUCUCCAAUGUCUGCUCGUUCACCUCAUUCACCCAGACCUGGCCGUUCAUCAAGACCUGGAUCAACAUCGCCAUCACCACAUCGAAGUCGAGAUAAUUAUGAUGAUGUCCGUUCUCGUCAAGGGCUCUCUUUAGAUAAUAGAUAUGCAUCAACAAGCUUAGGUGCUGAAUUGAUGAAGCACUCUAAGUUUAAAAAUAAAAAGCCUGGAGAACUUCCUAAUGAAAUGUCGCCUAUGCCACCUAUGCCUCCUAAACAGCAGCUUCCAAUUUCGUCUCUGCAUACACAGCAACUUUCACAACAACCUUUAAACCCUAACUUAAUUCAUCCCGGAACCAUCCUAACAGAUCAUCCUCAUCAUCUUCAUCAAUUAACACAGCCAACAUCUCAGUCUCAACAAUCAUUACCACAACCAAUGUUACAGCAACACAAUGGCUUUGAAAAUAUGAGAGCAUCUACAUUGUCUACAUUACCUCCAUUACCACUACCAAACAUGGUUGGCUCGAAAUCAUCUCAACGAACAAACGCAGUAAAUCAGGCUCAUCAUACACCAAGCUCACGUUUAACUCAAUUACCAUUGCCACCAACUUCUGGAAAUCCUAUUGAGCCAGUUGAAGAGGACCAAAGUAAACCAGUAGUUCGUAAACGACCCCGUGUUAUCAGUAAAACAUAUCCACUAAACCAGGAUCAAAAUCCUCGUUGUGUUGAUGUAUUCAAUAUCAUCUCACAAAUAGGUGAAGGUACUUAUGGUCAAGUUUAUAAAGCCCAGGAUAAGAAAAAUAAGUCUAUUGUGGCACUAAAGAAAGUGCGAUUAGAAAAUGAAAAAGAAGGUUUUCCCAUUACAGCGGUUCGUGAAAUAAAAAUUUUAAGGCAAUUGAAUCAUGAAAACAUUGUCAAUUUAAAAGAAAUUGUGACUGAUAAACAAAACGUUUUAGAUUUUAAAAAAGAUAAAGGUGCCUUCUAUCUUGUUUUUGAAUAUAUGGAUCAUGAUUUAAUGGGACUUUUGGAAAGUGGUUUAGUGAAUUUUAAUGACGCCAAUAUUGCUCAUACAAUGAGACAGCUAAUUGAUGGUCUUCACUAUUGUCAUAAGAAUAAUUUUCUGCAUAGGGAUAUAAAAUGUUCAAAUAUUUUAAUGAAUAAUAGAGGUCAAAUCAAAUUAGCUGACUUUGGUUUAGCUCGUCUUUUUAGUGCUGAGGAUAAAUUACGGCCUUAUACAAAUAAAGUGAUAACUCUUUGGUACAGACCUCCGGAACUGUUACUUGGUGAAGAGAGGUAUGGUCCUGCCAUUGAUGUUUGGAGUUGCGGGUGUAUUUUAGGAGAACUUUUUACUAAAAAACCAAUCUUUCAAGCUAGCAAUGAACAAGUUCAAUUUGAAAGCAUAAUUAGAAUAUGUGGAACUCCAAAUUCUCAAACAUGGCCUUCCGUUGUUUAUCUUCCAUUGUGGAAUACUUAUAAUAAGUCUACAAAACCGUACAAAAGAUGUUUAAGGGAACGUUUUCAUUAUAUACCUAAAGGAGCUUUAGAUUUAUUAGACGCCAUGCUCUGCCUUGAUCCAGCUAAAAGAAUAACUGCUGAGGAAGCUUUAAAGUCUGAAUGGCUUCAAAACAGCACGAUGUCCCCACCAAAUUUACCCCAACAUCAAGAUUGUCAUGAAAUGUGGUCUAAACAAAGACGUCGAAAGCAACAUCAAACUCAACAGCAAGCAUCCCAACCUAUUCCUCAUCAGCAAUCAUCUCAAACUUCUCAAUCGCAUGCAUCAUUAGCCGCCCAAAGCUCAUCUCAACAAUCGUCUACAUUACCUCAGGCCCAGUCAACAAACUGAGGAUGUUUAUAUGCGAAAAUUAAUUACAUUAAUGAUAACCUAAAAAAUACUAUCAGUCCUACCUGACGAAAGGAUGAUUAACUGAACUUCAAUGACAGCAAAGCGAAGACAGAGAUCAAUAUUUUUUUGCAACACAAAGUGCUUUUUCGUUUUUUUCCAAUACUAAACCUUGAUUAAAGGCUUUAAGGAUAUUAUUAACUGUUGAAAACUUACUCUUAUCUGGUAGAAGCCACUGACGGCCACAAUAUUUUUCAUUGGUUUGCUCAAUUUGUAAAUAGUCCGUUCGACAGUCGCUUGUUUUUUCCAAAUCCAAAUUGAGAAACUGGAGUUUUACUUGGCAAAUAUCCGGUGAUGAUCUAUGAAUUAUAUAUGAACAUCGACUGUAGGGUGGAUAAUCUGAUGGAUAGUUGGGACUUGUUAUAACAGCUAGUUGAUUGUUGAUCAAUUUGUUACACAAUUUUGCCUCUGAUUGCUCUGAGACAGGUGAAAGUGAUUGAGAUGUUGGAGGUGGUCUAAGCAAUCCUCGCCUUGAUGAAUACGGAUCUGGUAUUAUUGGUGAUGGUGCUGGUGAACCACAAGGAAUUUGACUUAUCAAUAUAUCAAAACCAGGACUUUCUCUGUAACCAUCACUUGAAAAAAACAGCGUGAUUGAGCUGUUUAAUGUUUGGGGGAAGAUGAAACUCUCUGAAUAAUGUGAUGUUUUUAGAAUUUUUAAUAUUUUUUUUGGAUUCCAAACAAUUGGUGACCGCAAAAUUAGAAUCAAAAGAAAAGAAAAAUCAAUCAGCUAUUAGAAGAUAAACACAUUUAAAUAACAGUCAAUAUUGAUUGUUUCUCUCUUAUUUGGCAAAUUUUUUUUGUGCAGCUGUGAUAUCAUGGAUAAAUAAUCACGUUUGUCCCUCUUUAUUUUUAGAGAGACCUAACCUCUAAUGUGAAAACCUUAAUUCAUUUCUAAAAGUAAAAGAUUUAACAUUAACUGUUUUACUGAGAAAAAAA